UGGGGAAUUUUGGACAAUGGGGGAAACCCUGAUCCAGCCAUCCCGCGUGUGCGAUGAAGGCCUUCGGGUUGUAAAGCACUUUUGGCAGGAAAGAAACGUCGCGGGUUAAUACCCCGCGGAACUGACGGUACCUGCAGAAUAAGCACCGGCUAACUACGUGCCAGCAGCCGCGGUAAUACGUAGGGUGCAAGCGUUAAUCGGAAUUACUGGGCGUAAAGCGUGCGCAGGCGGUUCGGAAAGAAAGAUGUGAAAUCCCAGAGCUUAACUUUGGGAACUGCAUUUUUAACUACCGGGCUAGAGUGUGUCAGAGGGAGGUGAAUUCCGCGUGUAGCAGUGAAAUGCGUAGAUAUGCGGAGGAACACCGAUGGCGAAGGCAGCCUCCUGGGAUAACACUGACGCUCAUGCACGAAAGCGUGGGGAGCAAACAGGAUUAGAUACCCUGGUAGUCCACGCCCUAAACGAUGUCAACUAGCUGUUGGGGUCUUCGGACCUUGGUAGCGCAGCUAACGCGUGAAGUUGACCGCCUGGGGAGUACGGUCGCAAGAUUAAAACUCAAAUGAAUUG
Molecule: ribosomal RNA, 564 nt
Filed under: uncultured bacterium
Lineage: Bacteria
Description: partial 16S ribosomal RNA
Rfam family: Bacterial small subunit ribosomal RNA
Source: RNAcentral